GUCCAGCCGCCGCGGUAAUACCGGCAGCCCGAGUGAUGGCCGAUCUUAUUGGGCCUAAAGCGUCCGUAGCUGGCUGCGCAAGUCCGUCGGGAAAUCCACUCGCCCAACGAGUGGGCGUCCGACGGAAACUGCACAGCUUGGGACCGGAAGGCUCGAAGGGUACGUUCGGGGUAGGAGUGAAAUCCCAUAAUCCCGCACGGACCACCGAUGGCGAAAGCACUUCGGGAAAACGGAUCCGACAGUGAGGGACGAAAGCUAAGAUCGCGAACCGGAUUAGAAACCCGGGUAGUCC
RNAcentral lists this ribosomal RNA (292 nucleotides) under uncultured bacterium. RNAcentral describes it as "partial 16S ribosomal RNA". It matches the Rfam family "Archaeal small subunit ribosomal RNA", at positions 456 to 747 of the family's 1478-position model. The record is from RNAcentral.